GGAGAAUGACAUCUCAAUGGCAAUCUCUGCUAAGAUUUUUCUUAAAAAAAAAAAAAACUUCUUGUAAUCCACCAAUUUGUACUUUUUCACAGCAUGAAUAACAAUCAUGGGCCAAGUUCUCUGGCAUUCAACAUUCGCAGCUGAAAACCCUACCACAAACCAGAGGCCAUUAAGAUGUCAUGACAGAGCUGUUUCCUCCCAAAUGGAAUAAUCUUCUCUAAAAAGCCAGAGCAAGAGAGAUCUGUACAGCUAACCAUUCAAUAAGCUACAUCCCAUUUUCAUUCUUAUAAUGGUUACAAAAAUCUGUAGUGACAGAAACCAGGCUCUGACCAAAAGUAUGUCUGACUACGCUUCAGAAAAGAUGCAAGGAACCUUAAUGAAAGGAAAAGACAUCUGGAAAACUGUACAAGAUAUUUAUAGAAGGGAGAAGAUCUUCCUGAGCAAUUAAUUGCAUACUGCGGUUCUGUCGUGCUUUUCUUCAAGAGAUUCAGGGACCUACUUUGUAUCUUCUCAGCAACUCUGCAAAACGGUUACAGCUACCCAUCUGCAAACAAUUCAAGAUGUCACCUAAUUGUUACAUCCACAUGGAUGACUCAAUUCUCAUUUUAAUGUUUUAAUCCUGAGUUCUUUUUCAAAUGCAUCUAUGAUAUGAAAGAGGUACAACACCAGAUUUAUAUAUGAAUAUGAGCUAAAAAUAACAUUUCACUCCAUUUCUAAUUGGCCCAAUGUUCAGACUGUUCCAUGGGGAACAAUACAUGUUUGAAUCCAGGUACCUAUUAAAACACUGAUGAAUCAGACAGACUUCUAUGCUUUUCUCGUUCACUCUUAAUGAAAUAUAAAAGUCUGAAUCUGAAAAAAAAGAAAUAGGAUAAUAAAAAAAAAAAUCAAGCCUCAAAGUGCUAACAUAAGAAUGGAGUCGAAAUUAUGUUUCAUAACUCAGAAGCAGUUAUUUUA
Crotalus tigris (Tiger rattlesnake) is the source of this 954-nucleotide long non-coding RNA. RefSeq lists it as uncharacterized. The transcript is spliced from 3 exons. NCBI's taxonomy places the organism in Eukaryota, Metazoa, Chordata, Lepidosauria, Squamata, Viperidae. The record is from RefSeq and is a predicted model, not a curated record.